RNAcentral lists this ribosomal RNA (504 nucleotides) under uncultured bacterium. Its description in RNAcentral is "bacterial SSU rRNA". It matches the Rfam family "Bacterial small subunit ribosomal RNA", at positions 28 to 524 of the family's 1533-position model. The record is from RNAcentral.
GACGAACGCUGGCGGCGUGGAUUAGGCAUGCAAGUCGAACGGUAUCAUCCUUUCGGGGGUGAGAGAGUGGCGAACUGGUGAGUAACACGUAGGAAUCUACCCUUAAGACGGGGACAACCCAGGGAAACUUGGGCUAAUACCGGAUGGGAGUGCGAGAGAUUGCAUUUAAAAGGAUGGCGAAAGUUGUCGCUUAGGGAUGAGCCUGCGGUCUAUUAGUUAGUUGGUGAGGUAAGAGCUCACCAAGGCGAUGAUAGAUAGGCGGCCUUAACGGGUGGUCGCCCACACUGGGAUUGAGAUACGGCCCAGACUCCUACGGGAGGCAGCAGUCGAGAAUAGUCUACAAUGGCCGGAAGGCUGAUAGUGCGACGCCGCGUGAACGAGGGAGCCCUUCGGGUGUAAAGUUCUUUUCUAUACGAGCAGUGCUAUAUAUAUGGAUAGUAUAUAUAGAGGGAUAGUAGUAUAGGAAUAAGCAACGGCUAACUCCGUGCCAGCAGCCGCGGUAAA